UAGCCUUUUCCAAUACCCAACCUUCUUUCAGAUAUCCCAUGCGCGUAUUUUCCUUCUUUCCACCUCCCAAAAUCAAUUUUUUGUAGCUUCCAAUGAAUCGUGCUAGUCGUCACCCCUUCGUUUUCUUAUUCUUCCUCUAUAUUAAUUCUGCCCUCUACAGACAAUUGCAUGUUCAUCUUCAUCCGUAAACCCCAUCCCCAGACCAUUGCAUCUUCCGUCUUCAUCCCCAAAGUGAAAAGAGGAGUGGUGUUUGACGAUGAUGGACGCCGAUCUGGUAACAGUGGAGUCGUGGUUACUUCGGAAAGGAAGGUCAUUUUCCAACGAUGUUGGAUCUGGUAUCAUCGGUGAUUAUCAAAGGCCCUACAAAAUUCAAAAAACAAGUUUCUCUAUUUUGAAAUCUCUUUUACAUUCUAUGAUUUUGUUGUUGUAAUUAUUCUUUUGCUUUGAAGAUUCUUAUUGAUAUUUCCAAUGUUUUAGGUUUGUUUGAUUUCCAUAUAUAAUUCCUUGCUAGACAUUUUAUCUUUUUCUUUGGUCGCUACAUGGUUUGGUUUCUUCUCUUCAUCGGUUAGUUGCAGAAAGAGUACUAUUGAAGCUUUGUCGGAGAAGAUGAAAGAAGUUGUGUUGGUACCUGAUUUUUCGCCGUUUCCAAUUAAUCGAUUUAUGGCUACUCUUACUCAUUCUAUUUAGGCUUUCUUCUGCUUUUAAAUUUCAUUUUUGCAUAUGUUUCUAAAUUUUAAGUUUUAUAUGUUUAAUUAUGUGAUUAGGUUUUUCCGUGAUCCGGAAAGAUGGGGAAGGGAGGCAAAUCUGCUAGGCUGACAAAAUUCAACAGAUCUGGAAUACCAGAGCUUUACAUUGAGGUUCCUGAAACUGCAACAGUUUUGAUCCUUUCAUUUUUUGGAAAUCGGGUUCACUAAAGGUUGUGGUUGCUCAAGCAGUAUUAGCCUACUAAGUGUUUGAUGAAAUGUCUGUGUUGGUGACGGGGUUUCAAAUUUCCAAGAAAUGAAGAAAGGAGGGCAUCCACUAGAGAAAUGGAUAUCAUAUGUUACUCAAACCGCUAGGUUGAUGACAAAGAUACGCCUUAUUGGUAAAGUUUAUCAUUUUUAUAUGCUAUGAUGAUACUAAGUUUAUUAAUCGCAUUCAUACAUAUAGUGUUUUGUGAUACUUCGACAUUCAUGUCGAACUUGAGCGGUUGCCAGAGAAGACCACGAAUUUUAUUAAUUCUUAUGUAUUUGAUUGAUUUAUUAAGAAUCUUAUUGAUAUUUCCAAUGUUUUAGGUUUGUUUGAUUUCCAUAUAUAAUUCCUUGCUAGACAUUUUAUCUAUCUCAGCUUAGAAGAUUAUAACUUUUUUGAAUAUGCACCAUGAAGUUGCUGUUGCGGAUUUGAUAAAAUAGUUGCAGCAUGCCUCUGAUGUCAAUGUUGUAUGUGUCCAUUUACUACAAUGAGCUGUCAAAAACACUCAUCCUUACAAACAGAAAAUGGACAUCUUCAACCAGAGAAAUGACCAAUCUCAAUGGGACUGGAUUGAUGUGCAUAAAGGCUAUAAUGAUGUGAACCUUAGUAGUAACAAAAGUUUUAGGGGUUGGAGUUAUGUGAAUUAAAGUAAUGAUGUAUAUGAAUUCAGCCAUUGACUUAGUAGUGAUUUGAACUAUUAUAAUUACUCUCUCUCCCUUCAUAAUUAUAAUAUCAAUUUAAAACAUUUGUUUUGCCCUUUUUUUAGCAUUAAAUCUAUGGGUUAUUUUUGUAGUUUAUCAAGUUUUUCCUUCAGAAGGAAAAAUUAGUUAUUGUAUCUACUUUGGUAAAACAGUUAUGCAUCCAAUUCAAGUAAAAACGGAAUAAAAUUGAAACAAAUUUAUGUAUCAUUUUUCUAUUUUCAUAUCAUGUUUCAUUGUACUAUCAUUUCUUCAAACACCGUUCAAUUUACAAGAACAUCACA
Molecule: long non-coding RNA, 1933 nt
Organism: Vicia villosa (hairy vetch)
Lineage: Eukaryota; Viridiplantae; Streptophyta; Magnoliopsida; Fabales; Fabaceae
Exons: 3
Source: RefSeq, a predicted model, not a curated record